RNAcentral lists this long non-coding RNA (1928 nucleotides) under Capsicum annuum. RNAcentral describes it as "long non-coding RNA (CANN_LNC007411)". The record is from RNAcentral. Lineage: Eukaryota; Viridiplantae; Streptophyta; Magnoliopsida; Solanales; Solanaceae.
UUCAAGUUUUCUGCAAUUUCCUUGCUGUUAAGAUAUAAUUUCAGCAUUCUGUAACUUUUGGUUUGUAGGAUAUAUACCCCUUAACCUCAAUUAUCAUGGUCUUGGUUGGUAACCGCUCCAUAUACAGUAAUUAGACGUGAAUUAUGAACCAAAAUUGGUUGUUGCAGUGGUGUUUUCAAACUAAUGAAUUAUUAAACCCACUUUAAAGAACCCGAGUAACAGCUUUGAAUGUUCACUAAUCUUAUGAUUUUCUCAUAAUAAGUAUAUGAGCUAUCUAAAGAUAUAAGUUAGUUAAUUGUUUUAAUUCAAUAAUUGUAAUAUUUAUUAAUAAAUGAUUAUCACUUACUUUCUUUUGUCCAUAUUAAGAGUUAUAGGUAACAGUGAUGCAAAGUUUGAGUUGGAGGAUUUGUUUCUUUGAAAUUUUAAGAAAAUCUAGGCACUGAUUGGUUAGAAAAUAAUGGGUGGAAUCGUUAUUGGCUUAAUAAAGUUGUUAACCAAAAGCAAUUAGCAAUUAUUCUAUUAUUGGCAGUGGCGCUAUGCCUCUGCAUAUUUGAAAUUAUUUUCUAAUUGUGCAGUAAGCAUCGUAAUGAUAGCGAUGUUAUGAUCAUAUUAAGAUAAGAGAUGUAUUUGGGGUAGAUAGUUAACUAUUAGUUCUACAUCUUAAAUUUUUUUGAAAUGGAAUUUGAUUCGGCCUUUAAAUUGAAAAUAAAUAUGAUACUAUGGAUGUGAUUGAGACCGUAAUCUUAAGGAGGUUAUGUAUUUGAAACAGAUCUUGUCCAUUCGGAAGCUUUACGUAAGAGCAAGUUUAUUAAUUAACGCUUGACCUCGGGUUCAGGCAAGUUGAGACUUUCCUUAGACUCUUUUUCAAUGUGUUUAUUUGAAUAUUUGUUAGUUAUGUGUAAUGGGAGUAAUGAGAAUUGGGUGGCCCGUAUGGAUGAUUGUGACGGGCAUUUAUGCGGGUACCGGUGUUAUUUGAGGGGAUAAAAUCAGUUAAUUGUAUGUUUAAAAUGUUUUUCCCUAUUUGUUAGCCUGAUGGAUUGAUUUAUUAUGGUGAUUAUUUAAAAAGCUAGUGAUGAUGAUACCCUCACUUGAUAAAUUAGUUGAUUUUGAAAUGGAUGUCUGAUUUGACUUGGGACCAGAGUUGCACGCCUGCACAUUAUGCAUUGCAUUUCAUAUGGGAUCGGAGUGCACGCCUGCACAGUAUUAUAUAUAUUUAUGGGAUCGGAGUGCACGCCUGCACAAUAUAUAUAUUUAUGGGACCGGAGAGCACGCCUGCACAAUAUAUUAUAUAUUUAUGGGGUCGGAGUGUACUCCUGCAUAGUAUACUAUAUAUUUAUGAGAUCGGAGUGCACGCCUGCACAGUAUUAUAUAUAUUUAUGGGAUCGGAGUGCACGCCUGCACAAUAUAUUAUAUAUUUAUGGGAUCGGAGUGCACUCCUGCACAGUAUAUUAUAUAUUUAUGAGAUUGAAGUGCACACCUGCACAGUAUUAUAUAUAUAUUUAUGGGAUCAGAGUGCACGCCUGAAUAGUAUAUUCUAUAUUUAUGGGAUCGGAGUGCACGCUUGCAUAGUAUAUAUAUAUGGGAUCGGAGUGCAAGCCUGCAGAGUAUAUACAUUUGCAUUGCAUUGUAUCACACUGCAUUGAUUUGCUUGCUUCAGAUUGGUUAAAGUGGAUUGUGAACUUGUACUUAUUGUAUAUGUGUUAUUUAUUUGACUGGAUUGAGAAACUCUUGGAUUGUGUUACGAUAUCUUUAUGAAUGUUAAACUGGAAUAUUCUGUUUGAUUAAUAUGGUCUUCCUAAGCGCAGGUUUUGUAUUUGUGCUUAAAUAUUUUAUGUGGUGUCACUCGUCACCACUUUGAAUUAGGGUCGGUCGACGACGCUUGCUGAGUACACGUGGUUUCGUACUCACUCUUGCUUUUUCUGCACCCU